AACGAACGCUGGCGGCAUGCCUAACACAUGCAAGUCGAACGAGACCUUCGGGUCUAGUGGCGCACGGGUGCGUAACGCGUGGGAACCUGCCCUUAGGUUCGGAAUAACUCCCCGAAAGGGGUGCUAAUACCGGAUAAUGUCUUCGGACCAAAGAUUUAUCGCCUUUGGAUGGGCCCGCGUUGGAUUAGCUAGUUGGUAGGGUAAAAGCCUACCAAGGCGACGAUCCAUAGCUGGUCUGAGAGGAUGAUCAGCCCCACUGGGACUGAGACACGGCCCAGACUCCUACGGGAGGCAGCAGUGGGGAAUAUUGGACAAUGGGCGAAAGCCUGAUCCGGCAAUGCCGCGUGAGUGAUGAAGGCCUUAGGGUUGUAAAGCUCUUUUACCCGGGAUGAUAAUGACAGUACCGGGAGAAUAAGCUCCGGCUAACUCCGUG
RNAcentral lists this ribosomal RNA (433 nucleotides) under uncultured bacterium. Its description in RNAcentral is "partial 16S ribosomal RNA". It matches the Rfam family "Bacterial small subunit ribosomal RNA", at positions 29 to 507 of the family's 1533-position model. The record is from RNAcentral.